Long non-coding RNA from Rhagoletis zephyria (snowberry fruit fly), 279 nucleotides. RefSeq lists it as uncharacterized. Lineage: Eukaryota; Metazoa; Arthropoda; Insecta; Diptera; Tephritidae. The record is from RefSeq and is a predicted model, not a curated record.
AAAUUUGGUAAGUAUUGUAAUAAAACCGAAUUAUUUUACAAAUAAAUUAUAAUUUUGCAUUUAUUAGGUCAUUUCCUUAGUGUUUUCCUGGCCGACCUGUGCUGGUAUUGUAAUUAAGAGCUAAUACACCAUUCUCUGGUGAACUGUAGCUGCGGCCGAAUUUGAUUGUGUGCAUCAUCCUGCAGAUAUUUUGAAAUUUUGUGGACGCUUCUGCUGUGCUGCGUUCCUGCUCCGCCUGUGUAUUGCUCCGCCCGUGUUUUAUAGUGUUGCGUCCCUGUU